CUAUCAAAGACCUUAAAGAGGCCUUGACUCAGCUUCGAGGGAACCAGUUGAUAGACUACAAGAUCCUGGGGCUGCAGUUCAAGCUGUUUGCCUGUGAGGUGUUAUAUAAUAUCGCUUUUAUGCAUGCCAAGAAAGAGGAAUGGAAAAAGGCAGAAGAGCAGUUAGCAUUGGCAACAAACAUGAAGUCUGAACCCAGGCAUUCCAAAAUUGACAAGGCCAUGGAAAGCAUCUGGAAGCAGAAACUGUUUGAGCCCGUUGUGAUCCCUGUGGGUAGGCUGUUCCGGCCAAAUGAGAG
RNAcentral lists this long non-coding RNA (295 nucleotides) under Cricetulus griseus (Chinese hamster). Its description in RNAcentral is "lncRNA (ENSCGRG00000024483.1)". The record is from RNAcentral. Lineage: Eukaryota; Metazoa; Chordata; Mammalia; Rodentia; Cricetidae.